AUUGAACGCUGGCGGAAUGCUUUACACAUGCAAGUCGAACGGCAGCACGGACUUCGGUCUGGUGGCGAGUGGCGAACGGGUGAGUAAUGCAUCGGAACGUGCCCAAUCGUGGGGGAUAACGUAGCGAAAGUUACGCUAGUACCGCAUACGAUCUAAGGAUGAAAGCGGGGGAUCGCAAGACCUCGCGCGAAUGGAGCGGCCGAUGUUAGAUUAGGUAGUUGGUGGGGUAAAGGCUCACCAAGCCGACGAUCUAUAGCUGGUCUGAGAGGAUGAUCAGCCACACUGGGACUGAGACACGGCCCAGACUCCUACGGGAGGCAGCAGUGGGGAAUUUUGGACAAUGGGCGCAAGCCUGAUCCAGCCAUUCCGCGUGCAGGAUGAAGGCCCUCGGGUUGUAAACUGCUUUUGUACAGAACGAAAAGCUCUGGGUUAAUACCCUGGGGUCAUGACGGUACUGUAAGAAUAAGCACCGGUUAACUACGUGCCAGCAGCCGCAGUAA
RNAcentral lists this ribosomal RNA (500 nucleotides) under uncultured bacterium. Its description in RNAcentral is "partial 16S ribosomal RNA". It matches the Rfam family "Bacterial small subunit ribosomal RNA", at positions 30 to 523 of the family's 1533-position model. The record is from RNAcentral.